Molecule: ribosomal RNA, 253 nt
Filed under: uncultured bacterium
Lineage: Bacteria
Also listed under: 1 other name
Description: partial 16S ribosomal RNA
Rfam family: Bacterial small subunit ribosomal RNA
Source: RNAcentral
UACAGAGGGUGCGAGCGUUGUCCGGAAUCACUGGGCGUAAAGGGCGCGUAGGCGGUCUCUUAAGCGUGUGGUGAAAGCCCGGGGCUCAACUCCGGGUCGGCCGUGCGAACUGGGGGACUGGAGCUUGUCAGAGGCAGGCGGAAUUCCGGGUGUAGCGGUGGAAUGCGUAGAGAUCCGGAAGAACACCGGUGGCGAAGGCGGCCUGCUGGGACAGUGCUGACGCUGAGGCGCGACAGCGUGGGGAGCAAACAGG